GACGAACGCUGGCGGCGUGCUUAACACAUGCAAGUCGAACGGUGAAGCGCCUUCCUUUUUGGUGGGUGUGGAUGAGUGGCGAACGGGUGAGUAACACGUGAGUAACCUGCCCCCUUCUUCUGGAUAACCGCAUGAAAGUGUGGCUAAUACGGGAUAUUCUGGGUCUGUCGCAUGAUGGGUCUGGGAUAGAUAUUGUUUCGGUGGGGGAUGGGCUCGCGGCCUAUCAGCUUGUUGGUGGGGUGAUGGCCUACCAAGGCGGUGACGGGUAGCCGGCCUGAGAGGGUGGACGGUCACACUGGGACUGAGACACGGCCCAGACUCCUACGGGAGGCAGCAGUGGGGAAUAUUGCACAAUGGGCGCAAGCCUGAUGCAGCGACGCCGCGUGAGGGAUGGAGGCCUUCGGGUUGUGAACCUCUUUCGCCAGUGAAGCAGGCCUGCCUCGUUUGUGGGUGGGUUGACGGUAGCUGGAGAAGAAGCGCCGGCUAACUACGUG
Molecule: ribosomal RNA, 494 nt
Filed under: uncultured bacterium
Lineage: Bacteria
Description: partial 16S ribosomal RNA
Rfam family: Bacterial small subunit ribosomal RNA
Source: RNAcentral